GUUUGCUGAUUCAGUGAUCUAUUUUGUACCUUUAAAGAAAUAAAUUGUUGUAGUACACUAGUUGGAAGACUUUAUUCCAUUGUAAUAUAUUAAGCACUCUUACACAACCACCAAUUCUUCCAGUCCCCUAGAAGAUACUUAAGCUAUUAUUUACUAAUAUCUGGUCCCAAAAUAUUUACGUUGGUUCAAAAAGUAUCCAGAUACUAGGAAGUAAUAUCAACCCUACCAAAAAAAAACUGACUUAAUGAAAAACAAUGCUAAAAUAUAUCCCUGUCGAAGUAGAUUUCAUUUCCACAUUCAUGUAGUCCUAAAUAAUUCAAAAUUAUAAAAAUCUUACAUCCUAUGAAUAUAACAGUAUCCGUGCAAGCCAAGCAAAGAGUAAAAAUUAGUUUUUUAUUAUCUUUAGAAUUCAAAGUAGCAACUCGCCUUUUACAACCGAAAAGUUAAACCAAAAAUAGAAAUCCAAAAGAGCUGCUGAAAGACUCCAAAAUUUAGAAGUGCUCCAGGGAGAUGCACCCAUGGGCACAGGUGUGAGCAUUCAUCCUAUACCAUGGUCUGGGGCUCGUUGGCAGCCCAACUCUGUAGACUAUACCUCAGUGAUGGAGCAGCCCAGAGACCCCAUCCUAAAGAAACGCUUUUCAGUUUCUUCACACAAUAAGAAACUCCCUAGAGCCUGCCAGAUGGCUCCACAGAUAAAAGUGCUUGCUGCCAAGUGUGACAGCCUUAGAGACCCAGGCCCACAUGGUGGAAGGAGAGCACCCACUCUUGUAAACUGUCCUCCCAGCUUAUAACCACCAUGGCAUGUUCUCACACUCUCACACACAGUUUUUUUUUAGAUUGCUGGCUUGACAGUCUACUAAGCAUUUUAAUGUAUAGCAAAUGAAAGUUAAAAAAAAAAAAAAAAACUAGUCUGAUAUUUUCAGCCUCAUUCCAGCAUACCUCCACUUUCCACAUCAAUGUUUAAUCACAAUCAUGACACACUGGAGUGAUUGUAGCACCCACUAGCACUUAUAUGCACAAGCUAUCAGAAAGACUGUUCAAAAAUAGCACUAGAGUGUUCUUCAAAUGUUGUAUUUCACUUGUCAAAAAAAAAAAUACUAGUUGGAGCAUUAUAAAUUGACUUUUGUAGCUCAUUGCCAUGACACAAUUGUUUUAGAAUAUUCGUCAAAUAAUGCAGUGUUUAUUAAGCACCUGUGAUAAACUAGGAACUGUAAUUUUAUAGUUGCAGAUAAAAUAGGAUAUAAGGUAGGAAGUUGACUAUAUUAAAAGUUCAGUGUAUCCUCUUGAAAUGAAACUUCUAAUUGGUAUUUAAUGCUGCAUUUUUAACUUAUAUAUAUUCAAAAAAGCGAAUCCCACCAAGACAUGUAACCUCCUUUUUCAGGUCUUGCCAUCACACAAAUAUCCUGUUUACCUAAAAACAUAAUGAACUUUGUUACUUAGCCAAUCUGACAUUUCCCAAAUUUUUUAAAAUCUAAGAGGUUCUGGGUAUUGGUGCAGGAUAGGGAUGUAGCUCAGGGUAGAACUGCAGCAUAGCAUGCAUGCAGUCCUGGUUCCAACCCCAGCACCAGAAGAGAAAGAGACUAGAAUCACACACAUUUUUUGCUUUUUCUGAAUUCAUUUGAUCACAUCUGGAGACUGGUGUCCUAACAUCCUAAAAUUUAAGCUAUAUUUCUUUCUGCCUGCCCACCUUCUCUUCUCCAGCAUCUAUUAAAGGGUAAGAAAAUUUGCUAAGAUCUUGCAGUUGUUUUCUUCCCCAUUCUCCAUUCUCUGUACUUUUGCCUAGGGUCCCUUUCUCUCUUAUGAAAAAUAAAAUAGCUACAGGUCCCUUCCUCUGUAUCCCUACUGCUUAGAUGGGAAUAUCAAGAAUCUCUGUUAGAAUCCAAAUCAGAAGGGUGAAGUUGGCGUGUUUUUCUAAAUGCACAUUAAUCUGUCUGUUACUAAGGCUUGAAAAUAUCAAUCAAGUUUUACUGGAAUACUUAGAGUGCUUAUAAAAGUUAUCUUUCAGUGCACUAUGUUAUUAUCAUUUAAAAAACAGUCCUUUAAAUGUAGAAGACACUUUUUCAUAUUUCAGUGGGACUGAGAAAUAAAAAUAUAUUUAUUAAACUC
RNAcentral lists this long non-coding RNA (2106 nucleotides) under Mus musculus (house mouse). RNAcentral's name for it is "long non-coding RNA chr2:49263595-49265701". Lineage: Eukaryota; Metazoa; Chordata; Mammalia; Rodentia; Muridae. The record is from RNAcentral.